UUAAUUGAAACCAAAAAGAGGUAAUUCACUGUUAAUGAAUAAAUUGAGACAUAAUUCUCCAAUUAAA
RNAcentral lists this transfer RNA (67 nucleotides) under Liriomyza trifolii (celery leafminer). RNAcentral's name for it is "tRNA-Asn". The record is from RNAcentral. Lineage: Eukaryota; Metazoa; Arthropoda; Insecta; Diptera; Agromyzidae.